AUGUUAGGCCGUGUGGUCGACGUCAUGGGAGUACCUAUUGAUGGAAAAGGGGCUCUAAGCGAUCACGAACGAAGACGUGUCGAAGUGAAAGCCCCAGGGAUUAUAGAACGUAAAUCUGUGCACGAACCCAUGCAAAUAGGCUUAAAAGCAGUGGAUAGCCUGGUUCCUAUAGGCCGUGGUCAACAAGAACUUAUAAUCGAGGACAGACAA
Molecule: ribosomal RNA, 210 nt
Filed under: Triticum aestivum (bread wheat)
Lineage: Eukaryota; Viridiplantae; Streptophyta; Magnoliopsida; Poales; Poaceae
Description: partial small subunit ribosomal RNA
Source: RNAcentral